AGCGAACGCUGGCGGCAGGCCUAACACAUGCAAGUCGAACGAACCUUUCGGGGUUAGUGGCGGACGGGUGUGUAACACGUGGGAACGUGCCUUUAGGUUCGGAAUAACUCAGGGAAACUUGUGCUAAUACCGAAUGUGCCCUUCGGGGGAAAGAUUAAUCGCCUUUAGAGCGGCCCGCGUCUGAUUAGCUAGUUGGUUGAGGUAAUGGCUCACCAAGGCGACGAUCAGUAGCUGGUCUGAGAGGAUGAUCAGCCACACUGGGACUGAGACACGGCCCAAACUCCUACGGGAGGCAGCAGUGGGGAAUCUUGCGCAAUGGGCGAAAGCCUGACGCAGCCAUGCCGCGUGAAUGAUGAAGGUCUUAGGAUUGUAAAAUUCUUUCACCGGGGACGAUAAUGACGGUACCCGGAGAAGAAGCCCCGGCUAACUUCGUG
Molecule: ribosomal RNA, 434 nt
Filed under: uncultured bacterium
Lineage: Bacteria
Description: partial 16S ribosomal RNA
Rfam family: Bacterial small subunit ribosomal RNA
Source: RNAcentral